CUUCAAUUAAAUUUACUUGUGGAAGAUCAAUCUGUUGACAUAAAAGCUUCAAUCGACUCAAAUUUACUUGUUUUAUCGCACAUCAAACAGCGUGAAUUCUCAAAGAGAAGGUAGUUCAAAUUGCUCUUCUGAAAGUUGUGCCUUUCUAAUGAAAAUGUUGGAUGCCUAUGGUGGCUUAUCUUUGCUUAUCAUGUUAUUCAUCAGUUUCAACAUCAGUUGGUCCAGAGGUUGCUCGGAUGAAGAGAGAAGAGCUAUCCAAGAAAUCUUAAAUUCUAUGGGCUACCAAUCUAUAUCUUCUCUACCAGAAAGCUACACUGAUGAUUGUUGCCAGUGGGAGGGAGUUUUUUGCAGUCUCACAAGUUCCCAUGUGGUCAGAAUUUUCUUUGACCCUUUAGGGGAAGGAGAAGGAGUGUUAUGGUAUCCUGAUAUGAAACUUUUUGCUCAAAUCAAAGAACUGCAGGAAUUACAUCUCACAAGAAAUGGCAUUGGUGGACUGCUUAACCCUGAAGGUAAGAGACUGAGAGCACUUUGUUCAUUAAGUAAAAUCUUCUUUGCUUUUGCAUGACUUUUCUUUUUAUCAUUAGGAUUCCAUUGUCUACGGUGAUCAAACUAUAUGCUUCUUAAAAACUGUGAUUUCUUUACGUGUUCAUUUUUAUAUUCAUAAUUCCCGAGUCAAGGAUUUGCUCGUUUCAUUUACAUGUUUAAUUCAUAAUUAUGCAGCAUUGUGCACACUCAUGAACUUGAAACAUUUGGAUCUCUCAAUUAACUUUAUUGAAGAUGAUAUGCCCUCAUGUUUGGCUAACAUGUCAUCGCUUAGAAUUUUGAAGUUGUCAAAGAACCAGUUCCAGGGUGACCUCACCAUUUUUAGCAACCUAUCAAACAUCGAGGAGAUUGAUGUUUCUUAUAACCUUUUUCAAGGCCUGAUCCCACUUUCCACUUUUGCCAAUCUCUCAAAGCUUAGUUUUCUUGAUCUUUCAUACAACACUCACUUAGAAGUUGAAUCUGAAUCUCCAACUUGGCAUCCUUCUUUCCAAAUACAACAUUUGUUUUUGGCAGGAUGCAAUCUCAACAAUAGAAAUAGCAACCGUGUCCCUCUAUUCCUUUCCACUCAGUACAACUUACAGACUUUAGAUUUAUCUAACAACUUCCUUGAAGGACCCUUUCCUGCUUGGAUGCUCCAUAAUGUUUCUUCUGCAUUGAGGUUGAGGGGCAAUUCAUUUGUUGGUCACUUUCCUGAUGCUUACCAUAAUAGAGAACUGAAGCUCGCUGAGCUGGACGUCUCCUGCAACCUUUUUUAUGGGAAAUUGCCCUCAAACAUAGCCAUCUUUCUUCCGAACCUGUAUGCAUUCAAUGCAUCCUCAUGUGGAUUUACUGGUAUCAUCCCAGCAUCAUUAGGAAAAUUGAAAGCUCUAGAGCGCUUGGACUUGUCUAGUAAUCACUUCGAUGGAUUUAUACCAAGUGGCCUAACCAAAAACUCAGCCCUAUGGUACUUAAAUUUGUCUAACAAUCGCUUAGGUGGUGGGUUGCUUCCAGAAGAUUGCAAUAUGACACAACUGAGAUGGUUGCUACUGCACCAUAAUUCCUUCCUCGGAAAUAUGCCCCAUUGCUUGUCAAACAGUCGGUCUAUGUGGAUGCUGGAUAUCCGACACAACAAUCUGUCAGGAAUGAUUUCAAGUGGAAUGCCAAUUUUCUCAGAAUUAGGUGCACUCCUAUUGAGAGGAAACCAUUUCAGUGGAUACAUUCCAGGACAAUUAUGUCAAAUGCCAAAGUUGCAGUUCUUGGACCUCUCCAACAAUCACUUCUCUGGGAUCAUUCCUUAUUGCCUCAGUAACAAUUUGUUUUGGACAAAGAAGUUACAGGCAAACUCUUGGGUCCCAAUUGAUUUUACCACCAAAGGAUAUGCAUAUUCUUUCCAGGGCAUUCCGCUAACUUUAAUGACAGGCAUUGAUCUAUCAGCUAACCAAUUGGCAGGUGCCAUUCCAUACCAACUGGGCCAAUUACAUGAACUUCAUUCCUUGAACUUAUCCAAUAAUCUUUUGACUGGCCAUAUUCCAAAAUCCUUCGAGAAAAUCACGAGCUUGGAAAGCCUAGAUCUUUCCUACAACAGGUUAACAGGGCAAAUUCCUCAGGAAAUUAGCCACAUGAGUUCUCUUACAACUCUUCGCCUCGCGUUUAAUGAUCUUUCAGGCAGGAUCCCAUUUGAAGGACAACUUUCGACAUUCUCUGAGAGUAGCUACGUUGGCAAUCCGAAGCUGUGUGGAGAUCCGUUAGAGAGAAAAUGCUCACAGAACACCAAUGAUGUCAACCAAGAUGAUGGAAAUGAAGAAAAAGAAGAAAAGAACUUGGAGGAGGAUCAUAGAGUCAUCGACGAACCUCUCUUCUUCUAUUCAUUUGUGUUCAUGUCUUAUGCUCUUGGAUUUUGGAGUGUCGUUGCCCCUUUAUGCUUCAGCAGGAAUUGGAGGAAAAAAUAUUACACUGCCAUUGAUGGAUGCGUGAAUUAUGUGAGAUGUUCUAAAUAGUUGGACUGACUGUGUUUUAUGCUAUGGCUGGGCUUCUUUUUCAAUCUUAAAACAAGAUACUAUUCUCAUGUGUACUGUCGAAUUCCGUAAAAUGAUAAAUGACUACAAGCUAAUUGCUGAACAAUAAAUAUAUGAAUGAAUAAACAAUUCAGUGGUUGUGCU
Molecule: unclassified non-coding RNA, 2681 nt
Filed under: Hevea brasiliensis (rubber tree)
Lineage: Eukaryota; Viridiplantae; Streptophyta; Magnoliopsida; Malpighiales; Euphorbiaceae
Source: RNAcentral